CUCGGUGCUCAUAAUCACCCCACGGCCCCAGGACCACGGCACCAACCUGAUCUGUCAGGUGAAGUUCCCUGGAGCUGGUGUGACUACGGAGAGAAUCAUCCAGCUCAAUGUCACCUGGAAACAAGAGACCAGAGCAGGAGUGGUUCAUGGGGCCAUCGGAGGAGCUGGUAUUACAGCCCUGCUUGCUCUUUGUCUCUGCCUCAUCUUCUUCAUAGUGAAGACCCACAGGAGGAAAGCAGCCAGGACAGCAGUGGGCAGGAAUGACACCCACUCUGCCACAGGGCCAGCCUCCCCGGUAUGUUGAGGCCAACAGAUCAGGAGAUGAUGGCCAUUGAAAAGAUAGUUUCUUGGCUGGGCACAGUUUCACACCUGUAAUCCCAGCACUUUUGGAGGCCGAGGUGGGCAGAUCCCGAGGUCAGGAGAUCGAGACCGUCCUGGCUAGCACAGUGAAACCCUGUCUCUACUAAAAAUACAAAAAAAUUAGCCGGGCAUGGUGGCGGGCACCUGUAGUCCCAGCUACUUGGGAGGCUGAGGCAGGAGAAUGGUGUGAACCUGGGAGGCGGAGCUUGUAGUGAGCCGAGAUAGCACUAUUGCACUCCAGCCUGGGUGACAGAGUGAGACUCUGUCCAAAAAAGAAAAAAAAAAUAGUUUCUUAUUCACCAUUCCCGAGAGGGCGCACCACAACAUGCAAGGCCAUAUGGAGAAGCACCAGGGUCAGUCAGGAAGCAGAGGGAGCAAGGAGAAAAUAGGACAAGAGCCUUCUCUGUGGCUUUUAUGGAAAAGAAUGGGCAAGACAGGGUAAGCAAGCUAGGCAGGUUUAUGAUUGGCUACUUAGAACAAUUUCAGCAGACUCUGGGGUAUAAGAGUUGUCUCUAGUUGUCUGGUACGUGGCCCUGGGUUUAUUAAGGAGGAUUGUGGCCUGGAGUGUAAGAGCUCAAUAAAAGAUCCAGCUGGUAGUGUGGGCUUUAGACUGACUGGUUUGCACAUGAAAGGUGCACUUGUAUGCAAGUCCUUUACUAGCUCUAGAAAUCUACUAUCCUUGGGAGAGGCAGUCUCUCAAAGGUCAGCAAUGCCCCAGAUGUCAAAACAUCAGAAACACUUGGUUGACACACCCCUAAACAUAGUUCUCCUGAUGAGUUCUCCAUCUCACUAAAGGUACUCUUGUCCCCAUUACCCAACAAGAGACAUGGCCCCCUCAUGCCCCAGUCCUCCAUCUCUUCUUCCUGUGCCAGUAUGCUACGAUGCAUGUCUGAGCUUCCUCUGAACACAGCUUAACACAACCACUCCUUCUGAGCCGAGAGCCUCUGUUAUUCCUUAUUCUGCUGCAGCCUCACCUCCCAUUUCUCCUCUCCAGAACAUUAGCAUUAUCUCCCUAAAAGGUCAUUGUCCCAUCAUUCCCAAGUUUGAAAUGCGCUGCUUCUCUACUCUCCUGAAAGAUUGGCAUUCCAACAACUUGGUCUGGCAUUGGAGCAGGAAAACCAGAGUCCCCUUCAGCGCUAUGCUCCCCCAACAUUAGCCACUCAAUCACCUCAAGCAGGGCAAGAUUUUUCAUCUCAGAAUCAUUGCUGGGCUGUCCCCUCCUCCUCAUAUGCCUAAUAGCUACCUGCCCAACUCCAGUGCAUCCUUCAAGCUCUGAUUUUUUUUUAAAUUUAUUUAACUCUGACUAAAGUGAACACCACAGUAAAGUUUUUGAACACAGGGUCAACCAGCACCCAUUCAUUCUGCAAAUAUCUAUAUAAUCCCAUUUGCCAAUUGUUCUAGGUCCUUGUGCCAUUCUGUAUUUUUAUAAACACAUAGUUUACAAAUAUAAAAUAUUCCUCCUAUUGGGGGCUUAACAUUUAAUGGGGAAAGGGAUGAAAAUAAUGAACAAAUAAGUAGUGCAGAUAUACAUGAAAUAAGUGCUAUGGCAGGAAAUGAAAUGGGAGAACGGAAUGGUCAGUCCUUGGGGCCAAAGAGUGGCCUUUGGGCAAACACCUGCAGAAAGAAAGUGAGUACAGUAUGAGCAGUAGAGAAUCAUCAAGGAAGCAGCAAAUACCAUGGCUCUGAGGCUGGAACACAUCUGACGUUUUAGAGAAACAAAGUAGGACAGUGUGGAUAAGGCAGAGUUACGUGUUGGGGGUGGUGUGUGAACUGAACAAUGGUAGGUAGGAAAUGAAGUUGAAGAGACAUAGGAGCUGCAAAUAUUACAGGAUCCUAAGUCCAUCAUAGUUAUUGAUGCGUUUAGAGCAGAAGAGUGACAUAAACUGACACUCAUUUUAGUGGGAGUCACUCUGGCUGCUGUGUGAGAAACUCUAGUACGUAGUAUAGAAGAGAAGAUACCAGAAGAGAAGAUAGAAGAGAAGAUACUAGUACGUAGUAUAGAAGAGAAGUAUAGAAGAGAAUAGAGGAUACGCAGAUAAUCAAGCCAAGAGAUGACUGACUCAGACUUAGUCCCCAGUAAGAAAAAUGAAUCUGAUGUGGAGAAAUUGGGUUCCAGAUACAUCUUGAAGGUGGAUCAACAGUAUUUGCAAGUGGAGUGAUGGAUGCAUGCAAGGCAUGAGCAAAGAUAGCUCACAGACUCUGCUUGAUAAGUGUCUCAGAUGUCAUAGGUGGGUCCACAGAUAUCGUAGAUGUCAUGGAUGUCCAAGAAGACCCCAUAGAUGUCAUAGAUGUCUAUAGAUGCCAAUUAUGAUGUUCAUGUGGUUUACUCAGAAUUCAAACUUAAAAAAUCAAAUUGCCAAUGAUUAAAAUUGCCAUCCUUGAAGGAGAAGUAUAUUUUCAAGUGUAUAUCAAAUAUUAUUUUGGUUACUGUAAGUAUGAGGUGCCUCUGAGACAUCCAUGUAGAGAUGACAAGUAGCAGGCAAGUGUCUGGAGCUCAGAAGAGGGAUCCAUGUGGGAGACACAGAGGUUGGGGGCUUCCAUAUCAAUAUCCAAUAAUUGGUGAAUCUACAAAGAAGAGAAGUGGUCCACAGACACAGCCCUAGAACCCUCCAGCAUUUAAUGUUAGGGAGAUGAGGUGUAAAUGGUGGGAAAGCUGAGAAUGAAUAGGAGCCAAUGGCCAGGAAAUUGCAGGCUCUAGUGUUGGUGGCCAAGGGAAGAUGGGGCUUCAUGGAAGAGAGGUUGGUCAUUUGUUUCAAAUGCUGGUAAGUCUGGUAAGAUAGAAUCUGAGAAAUGGCUAUUAGAAUGUAGCUAAGUGGUAUGACAGCAAAGCAGAUCUGAUUUUCUGCUGGAGGAAGAUCUCUUGACUGAGAGAGUUCAAGAGAAAAUGGGAGGCGAGGAGGCAAAAACUAUGAGUUGAAGGACUCUUUUGAGAAACACUGCCCCAACCAAGAAAUGGGCCUGCACCAGCAAAUGGUUGUACCCUGUAGACUUGCCAUUUCUCCAGCAUCUGCUCCUAUCUCUUAUGCUACCAUGUUCCCUAUUUGUGUAGGGCUUUGCACCACUUGAACUAACUGCAUUCCCAUAGCUCUCCCUACCACACCAUGAGCUCAACAAGGAAAAGGCUGGGUUUUAUUAGACCUCCAUCAUUCCACUCUCUCCUGUUCGUCUGCACACUGUCACAGUUUGCAAUUACCAGUCUGUUUCUGUCUUCAUCCCCUGCAGUACUGGAAAUCACAGGGCCCCUGCUCUGCUUUGCUCCCUCCUGAGGAUCCAGUGUCCAGCACAUAGGAGGUCCCAGAGACCUGGGACUGAGUUCAGGGUCAACAGUUGUGUGACUUUGGAAAUUACCUAACCUCUCUGAGACCUAGUUUUCUGGUCUGUAAAAUGGAUAAAAUAAUAGUUGCUAAAGAUGAUGUCAGUGUAGCUGCCCAGAAUUUUUCCACAUUAGUCUCUGUGAGUAUUCCAGAGAAUUGGGAAUCAAUCAAUAUGUGCUACAUGUGUUAGAUAAUGAAUAAGUAGAGCCUUAAUUAAUUAGCAUUUGAUGAAAGAAUGAAAGAGUGAAUAAAUGUUCUGUCAGAGUCAAAUUUACUUCAUUGACCCUCUUUGCCUUCUCCCGGUCGCCCUCCUCACUGCCCUGCUGUAACCCCCUUCUUUCCUCUCCAUAAGAAACACCAGAAGAAGUCCAAGUUACAUGGCCCCACUGAAACCUCAAGCUGUUCAGGUGCCGCCCCUACUGUGGAGAUGGAUGAGGAGCUGCAUUAUGCUUCCCUCAAAUUUCAUGGGAUGAAUCCUUCCAAGGACACCUCCACCGAAUACACAGAGGUCAGGACCCAGUGAGGAACCUACAAGAGCAUUGGGCUCAGCUAGAAGAUCCACAUCCUCUACAGAUCCCAAUUUAGGUUCCUCUCUGCCUGUUCCUCUAAGAGGCCACUGUUUGAACCACUUCCUGAAUCUGUAGCCAAAAAUUGGAAGCAACCCAAAUGUCCAUCAACUAAUGAAGAAUAAACAAAAUCUGGUACAUUCCUGCAAUUCGUAUCAUUCAGACAUAAAGAAGGACAGAAGUACGGAUACAUGCUACAACAUGUAUGAACUUCGAAAACAUCACACCAAGUGAAAGAAGCCAGAUACUAAAGAUCACGUAUCAUAUGAUUCCAUUGAUAUGAAAUGUCUAGAAUAGGAAAUAUAUUUCUGGAGGCAGAAAGCAGAUUGGUGGUUACCAGGGGCUUCAAGGAGGGCAGUGACUGCUUAGUGAGUACACGCUUUCCUUUUGGGGUAGUGAAAAUGUUUAGAACCAAAUAGAGGUUGUGGUUACACAACAUUGUGCAUGUACUAAAUGCCACUGAGUUGUUCACUUUAACAUGGUUCAUUGUAUGUAAUGUGAUUUUACUUCAAUAAAAAAAAUAAUAAU
RNAcentral lists this small RNA (4768 nucleotides) under Pongo abelii (Sumatran orangutan). RNAcentral describes it as "retained intron". The record is from RNAcentral. Lineage: Eukaryota; Metazoa; Chordata; Mammalia; Primates; Hominidae.